GCAUCGGUGGUCUAGUGGUUAGGAUUGCUCGACUUUCAAUGCGAGCGGCCCGGGUUCGAUUCCCGGCCGAUGCA
This 74-nucleotide transfer RNA is filed under the name Monomorium pharaonis (pharaoh ant). RNAcentral's name for it is "tRNA-Glu". It matches the Rfam family "tRNA". Rfam says of the family: Transfer RNA (tRNA) molecules are approximately 80 nucleotides in length. Their secondary structure includes four short double-helical elements and three loops (D, anti-codon, and T loops). Lineage: Eukaryota; Metazoa; Arthropoda; Insecta; Hymenoptera; Formicidae. The record is from RNAcentral.